Molecule: RNA transcript, 3875 nt
Organism: Oreochromis niloticus (Nile tilapia)
Lineage: Eukaryota; Metazoa; Chordata; Actinopteri; Cichliformes; Cichlidae
Gene: tmem176
Gene name: transmembrane protein 176
Exons: 2
Source: RefSeq, a predicted model, not a curated record
UCUAGCUCUCAAACUCUUCAUACUCUUCAUAUUCAAAGUGCAUCUAGAUUGGAGGAGAUUUUAAUCAAAUACUGGAUCAAGACCUAGAUAGAUCACUUCCUAGGAGAGGCACAGAGAGUAAAUCUGUAGUUGCCAUAAGGCAGAUGACCUCAGAUUUAGGUCUGAAUGAUAUUUGGCGGACAAUGCAUCUAGAAGGCAGGGAAUAUUCCUUUUACUCUCCGCCUCAUAAUGUUUAUACUAGAAUCGACUACUUUCUUAUCUCUGAAGCCUUAGUCAAUAAUUCUAUAUAUUCAAGUAUUGGUAAUAUAGUAAUCUCAGACCAUGCACCAAUUUUUCUAUGUCUUGGAAAUAUUUUACAGAUCCCCCAAAGCCGCAGAUGGCGUUUAAAUGUGUCCUUAAUUAAAGACUCUGGGUUUAUUAAAUUGAUAAGAGAUGAAAUACAAUUCUGCAAACAGACAAAUAAUCGAGAGGACACUACAUUGGCUACUUGGUGGGAUGCUAUGAAGGCAUACUUAAGGGGGAGGAUAAUUUCUUACGCUUCCUUUAAAAAGAAGGCAGCUAACAAGAAUAUUAUUAUGUUAGAAGCCAAAUUAAAGGCACUUGAGGCAGUACAUUCCCAUACAAAAGACAGAGUUACGUUGAAUAAAAUCGUUAAAGUUAAAUAUAAGUUGAAUGUACUGUACAACAGAAAGGCAGAAUAUGCUUUAUUUCGCAUUAAUCAAGCAUAUUGGGAAAUGGGAGAAAAGCCGAGCCGUUUAUUAGCAUACCGUCUUAAACAGAAAGACAGUAUGAACCAUAUCCCAGGCAUACGACAAUCAGAAGGGGUUAUUUCAACUUCUAUUAGACAUAUAAAUGAUGGAUUCAGGGCCUUUUACAAUAAUCUUUAUUCAACACAAGGCAGUUUAGAUAAACAGAAAUUCAAAGCAUUCUUUACUGAUUUAAAUCUGCCACAGCUUUCUGCUAUUGACCAGCAGACUAUAGCUGCUCCAAUUACAGUGGAGGAGAUUACCCGUGCAAUUAACAGUAUGCCACUUAAUAAAGCUCCAGGAUUAGACGGGUUACCAUUGGAUUUCUAUAGAGCAUUUAAAGAUAUGUUAAGUCCCCUGUUGCUCGAUGUUUAUAAUGAGGCGUUUAAAGUAGGCUCAUUACCUCAGUCAAUGCACUCUGGACCUAUAACAUUUAUUCCUAAAACUGGGAAAGACCCUUUAGACCCAAGUGGUUACCGCCCCAUAUCUUUGCUUAACUCUGACCAAAAAAUCUUGGCAAAGGUCUUAGCAGGUCGAUUAAAAGUAGUAAUGGCGAAAAUAAUACAUGCAGACCAAUCUGGUUUUGUUCCAAACCACUAUGGUUCAGAUAAUAUUAGGCGGUUGGUUAAUUUGCAAAAUUAUGUAUAUGAUUCAGUAAAUCCAACAGUGGCCCUAUCGCUGGAUGCUGCUAAAGCUUUUGAUUAUGUUGAGUGGGAUUAUCUGUUUAAGACAUUAGAAAAGUUUGGUUUUGGUGACAAUUUUAUUAGGUGGAUAAAGAUAUUAUAUGAUUUGCCUUCAGUGCCAGUAUUGACGAAUGGGCUCAUAUCAGAUCUAUUCCUUUUACAGAGAUCCACAAGACAGGGUUGUCCCCUUAGCCCCGGGCUUUUUGUAAUUGCUAUAGAGCCUUUGGCACAAAAACUGAGAAAUAAUGUAAAUAUAUUUGGAAUUUCGAUGGGUAAUAGUCAACAUAAGCUUCUAUUAUAUGCAGAUGAUAUGUUGUUACUUAUGACCCAGCCUGGGAAGUCAAUUCCAGCCCUAUUAGAAUGUAUAGAAAGCUUUACGCUGCUUUCAGGGUAUCGCGUCAACUGGGAUAAAUCAGAGGCAAUGCCUAUGUCAGGACACUGCCCUCAUACUUUAUUUAAACAGUGGGAGUUUCGGUGGUCCGUGAAUGGUUUGAGGUAUUUAGGGAUACAAAUUACCUUGGAUUACACUAAGAUGGUUCGAGCAAAUAUGGAGCCAAUGUUUGAAAGAAUAAAAAUGGAAUUUGGUAGAUGGUCCAGAGCAGGGGUGCCCAAUCCUAGUCCUCGAGAGCUACCGUCCUGCAGCUUUUAGAUUCAUCCUUGUUCCAACACACCUGAAUCAAAUGAAUGUCUUGUUAUCAGGCCUUUGCCAAACUUGAUGGCAUGCUGAAGAGGUCAUCAAACCAUUUGAUUCAGCUGUGUCGGAGUAGGGAUGCAUCUAAAAGCUGCAGGACAGUAGCUCUCGAGGACUAGGAUUGGGCACCCCUGGUCCAGAGUAUGUCUCACAAUAUGGGCCUCUCGGUCAAGCAGCUCCACCCACUUCAACUCUGCUUACGUCCCCCGACCUGAACUGAUCAGUCAUCCAUUGACUGAUUGAUCAGCUGUGUCCUGAUGAUUGAAAGUCUUGAAUUUGUCUAUCCACUUACAUCUACCACUUAUUUACUCUGCUACCUGGCAUCUUUGCACAAGUGUGCCAGUUCUGUCAAAGGGCCUUUCACACAGACGUAAUAACUGUUCAACACUGGAUUAAUGGUUCAUGGACAGUACAUCAGAGUCUACACAACCGUACUUUUUAUGUGUGACAGAUGAUGUCACAUAUUAUGUAUGUGGAGCUUUCUGCUAUGUCCAGUCACAACUGCUGAAGAGCAUACAGGGACCAUAUAGAAAUGCACUGCCUUGAAAGAAAAAAUGGAUCAUGGCUUUUGUAUCUGAAGAAUUUCAUAGUUGAAAGAUCCUGAUUUUGUAAUCAAGAGAAAAGGUUCUGCAAUUUUCAAAUGACAUAAACAAGAAACUUCACUAAAUGUUGAAGAAACGUACCUGCAUGAAGAAGGCACCCAGUCAGAAACAAACCCUGUGACUUCUUUUUCACAGUCCAGUCCAGUUUUUUUUCCUCUUUCAGUUUUAAACGCAUGUAUGGCGCAUAGGAUACAAUAUUGUGUGCAGUGUUUAGACUAUGUUUAAAAUAAAAAUAUGUUAUUAUGAUAAGAUUGUGUUAAGAGAAUUGCUCAUGCCAUCUUUGACAGUAUUUUGUGUAAAAUUAGAAAACAAAGUCAUAAAUGAAUAAACACAUCAAACCCACUGUGUGAAACAAAAAGGCACACUGUCAACAUUUGUGUUAGCAUUCUCACUUGAGACUAAUUUUAUAGCUCAUAGGUAUGUAUGUAAAGUGCUCUGAGUGGUCAAAAAGACCAGAAAGUGUUCUAUACUAAAGUCAAUUUAACAACUUGCCCAGAGGUUAAAGUGGGAUUUGAAUAGUGGGAGAACCCAAGCUUCCAGUGUAGCAGUGCUGCACAGGGGAAUGAGCCACAUUGUAAUCCCUGUUGUGAGUUUCUGUCACAGUCCUCCUGUGUUCUCUCAGUUUCCCUUGGGGCUUUUUUUCUCACUUUUGUUAUUCACCUUAGCUUCUCUGUGGAGAUAGACUUUACAGUAUUAUUGUUUCAGUAUUUGUUAGUUUGGUCAAGUUUGUUGUUACAGCUUGGUUGAUAAGGCUUUGGAGGCGUACCAGUCCAGGGUGUCGUCUGGCCAGCUCCAAAGACGGACGCAGGGCCAACACAGAGAGAUGUUUUCAAACCUGUGUGUGUGCAGCAGAGGGGCGCUUACAUGGUGGUUUGUGAAGGACAAGUACUCACUUGUUAACCAUUUUAUCUUGCUGUAUAUACUGCAGAUCUGCAGUGUUGGCAUUUCCUGUUCUAUUAAAAAUGACCAACCUGCAGGCCUUCUUUGUAAAUAAAGAAUAACCAGUUCUUUCUAUGGUGAGAAUUAAAGUUUAUAAGAUGACAAAAAAGACAUUAAAAACAUUACGAGGGCACUUACAGGGCCUCUGCUGCCAUCUUCAGGCCAAAAAGCUAAAGCAUUUCAGAACAUUUUGGAAUAAAAUAUGCUCUAUUCA